UAGUGCGAAAACGAAAUAAAUAGUUAAGGUUUACAUUCCUUACACACAAAAAACUUAAAGUCCCAAAUAGUGCUACGAAAAUUACCCUUUGAAGGAAAUACAAAAAACCUAAGGAAAUAAACGAAAAAUAAAUAAACUGACAUACUACUCAUAACCCUCUUGUGGAUCGGGCUCUGGAUCCUAGUCCUCUUGAUCUGACAUUAUUAAUAAAUGAAAGAACUAC
RNAcentral lists this long non-coding RNA (223 nucleotides) under Carica papaya (papaya). Its description in RNAcentral is "long non-coding RNA (CPAP_LNC000209)". The record is from RNAcentral. Lineage: Eukaryota; Viridiplantae; Streptophyta; Magnoliopsida; Brassicales; Caricaceae.